Small nucleolar RNA from Mangifera indica (mango), 91 nucleotides. RefSeq annotates it as small nucleolar RNA R24. Lineage: Eukaryota; Viridiplantae; Streptophyta; Magnoliopsida; Sapindales; Anacardiaceae. The record is from RefSeq and is a predicted model, not a curated record. The transcript has a single exon.
AGAGUUAUGAUGAGAAGCCAACAUAUAAGAAGGCUUAUCUUAUAGUGAUAUUCAAUGCAAUAUAUUUUGUUACGCUUGGCUUGUCAGCUUU